GAUAAAUUAUAUUCUUCAACAGACGCUAAAAGCAGUUGGCGCCAAGGGAAUGGUUGUGGGGCAUACUCCUCAACCUACGGGAGUAAACUGUGAGUACGAUUGUAGCAUAUGGCGGAUUGAUGUUGGGAUGUCCAGCGGAGUUCUUAAUUCAAGACCCGAGGUUCUAGAGAUAAAAGACAACAAAGCAAGAGUUAUAAGAAGCAAGAAGGAUCCAUCCAGUGAAUUAAUGGUUGUCUGAUUAUAUAUAGAGACGAGCAAACAAGUUGUUUUCCAUGACUCAAAUUGUUUGUACAGAAACAAGAGUAACUUCAACGUCGGUAAAGGAGACGCCCUUUUUUACCAUAUUAAGAGCAGAAGCGAAGUAGGAGAAGAAUAUUUACCAUUUUUGGCUCAAAUUCAUCAUAUUUACCGUGAAAAGAAUUUUGUUGCUGAUAAUUUGACUCAUUUGGGUUUGUCAUGUAGUUUGGGCCCAGUUUUUUUACACAAGCUCCUCUUCCUUGUCAUCAAUUGCUAGUUGCAGAUAUAGCUGAGGUCUCAUGGCCUCGUGAUAUUUUUAUGUAAUUUUUCUUUUUCUUUCGAGCUUGCCCCGUUGUCAACCAAAAUAGCAGAAAAAUAGAGA
Molecule: non-coding RNA, 619 nt
Organism: Malus domestica (apple)
Lineage: Eukaryota; Viridiplantae; Streptophyta; Magnoliopsida; Rosales; Rosaceae
Source: RefSeq, a predicted model, not a curated record